UUUGGAUUGAAGGGAGCUCUA
This 21-nucleotide microRNA is filed under the name Citrus sinensis (sweet orange). RNAcentral's name for it is "csi-miR159a-3p". Its record names the gene csi-miR159a-3p. The record is from miRBase by way of RNAcentral. RNAcentral also lists the same sequence under 32 other names. Lineage: Eukaryota; Viridiplantae; Streptophyta; Magnoliopsida; Sapindales; Rutaceae.